This 566-nucleotide ribosomal RNA is filed under the name Zunongwangia profunda. RNAcentral describes it as "bacterial SSU rRNA". It matches the Rfam family "Bacterial small subunit ribosomal RNA", at positions 152 to 718 of the family's 1533-position model. The record is from RNAcentral. Lineage: Bacteria; Pseudomonadati; Bacteroidota; Flavobacteriia; Flavobacteriales; Flavobacteriaceae.
GGAAACGUGGAUUAAUACCUCAUAGUAUUAUAGACUGGCCUCAGUUUAUGAUUAAAGGUUACGGUAAGAGAUGAGCAUGCGUCCUAUUAGCUAGAUGGUAAGGUAACGGCUUACCAUGGCUACGAUAGGUAGGGGUCCUGAGAGGGAGAUCCCCCACACUGGUACUGAGACACGGACCAGACUCCUACGGGAGGCAGCAGUGAGGAAUAUUGGACAAUGGGCGAGAGCCUGAUCCAGCCAUGCCGCGUGCAGGAAGACGGCCCUAUGGGUUGUAAACUGCUUUUACAGAGGAAGAACCCUCCUUACGUGUAAGGAGCUGACGGUACUCUAUGAAUAAGGAUCGGCUAACUCCGUGCCAGCAGCCGCGGUAAUACGGAGGAUCCAAGCGUUAUCCGGAAUCAUUGGGUUUAAAGGGUCCGUAGGCGGGUCUAUAAGUCAGUGGUGAAAGUCUGCAGCUUAACUGUAGAACUGCCAUUGAUACUGUAGACCUUGAAUUAGUAUGAAGUGGUUAGAAUGUGUAGUGUAGCGGUGAAAUGCAUAGAUAUUACACAGAAUACCGAUUGCGA